UACAGUAGGGGCGAGCGUUAUGCCUCGUUAUUAGGCGUAAAGGAUACGUAGGCUGUUCUAAUGUAGUCCAAUGUUAAAUUACCGGCAUUGAAGGUCCAAUAAUACAUAAGGAAACUAUUAGACUAGAGUUAAGGAGACGUUGAUGGAAUUAAAAGAUUAGCGGUAAAAUGCAGUUAUACUUUUAAGAACGCCGGUGGCGAAAGCGAUCUUCGAUUCUUAUACUGACGCUGAGGUAUGUAGGUUAGAGUAAUGAUGCGG
This 258-nucleotide ribosomal RNA is filed under the name uncultured bacterium. RNAcentral describes it as "partial 16S ribosomal RNA". It matches the Rfam family "Bacterial small subunit ribosomal RNA", at positions 524 to 776 of the family's 1533-position model. The record is from RNAcentral.